Molecule: long non-coding RNA, 1474 nt
Organism: Labrus mixtus (cuckoo wrasse)
Lineage: Eukaryota; Metazoa; Chordata; Actinopteri; Labriformes; Labridae
Exons: 2
Source: RefSeq, a predicted model, not a curated record
UGGGUAAAUGUAUUUUUAAAGGCACUUCAGUGUGUAACAGGUUAUUUUAACGCCACAAUGUUUAUUUAUUGCAGAUGUAAUAACAAAAGUAUUGUUCUGUGUGUGUUUCAGUGAAUUCCUUUAACCCUGUUGUUGGGAACUGCUGUUUCAGGGUCGCAAAUGUGACCGUAAGAGACAUCAAAGCAUGUUAUGAACAGUUAGAAAACAAGACCUGCAGGCUCCACGCCUUCCAGAUUGAAAGGAAAAAUGGGAAAAUAGCGUGCAUCGAUCCGAAAUUCAUCAGGAUCGGGAAAAUGAUAAGGAAGGUGAGACUCAGGUGUUGGUCUGGAUUUAUGUGUUUAAUACCAGAGCUGGUUUAUUACCGGCUCAACAUGGUGUUCUAAAUAAUCAAUGCGUGCAUGCUAAGACUUUUAAGACUGAGUUUUGACUUUGUGAUUUUCACUAAGAAACAGUUCAAAUUGCACUUGUAUAAUAUUAGUUAGUAGUUUUUAUCAUUCAAGUCUAAAAACAACAACAACAAAUACAACCACGCAGUAAAAGACUAUUCAACUACUCAAAAACUAAUGUACAUUUCUUGAAGUACUUUACUGUGAAAACUUCGAGAUACUUUAUCUUCUAUUUGAGCUACCCCAUCAGGUUUUUUAUUUCUACAGGAUUUAACUACAUUAUACAGAAAAUUUGGUUCUUUUGACUUUAUUUAUCUGUCAGCCUGAGUUAUCAGUUUUUUAUUUGACAACCCAGAUUUAACAUAUGACCCAAAAAACGACAUAUGAUGUGAUUCACAGGUAAACCGUCAUUAUCUUUAAGGUUUUACCUUUUACCAUAGUAUAUGAAUAGCUUCAGUGCAGGCAUGGUUUGGUCUACACAUGUGAAAAAGGACUAAAAGUGGAUUUUUACUCAAAGCAUGACUGUAACCCUCUGAACGAAUAUGUACCAACAGACACUCCAACACGAGCCACAUCUCUUUUUAAAGAAAAGUUUGCAGCAAGGUAGCUAAGAAAGUUAAUCUUUCUGCAUUUUUAGAGAGGAAAUCUUUUUGGUAGGGAAUCAAAAAUAAAGGUCGUGCAAAACACUUGUUUUUAGCAACACCAACAAUGUGGUUUGAGUACUUGAGGAAUAUUUAAAGAAAACAGAAAGUUCUCCUAACAAAUAAACAAGCAUUGCCUGAAUUGUUAUGAGCUCUAAUUUGACAUGUCUUUUGUCUUUUCUUCUCUGUAGGCAAAACACUGUGAAGGUUUCUAGUGAAACACAGUCCUGGAAGUUGAGUCUGCACGACCAAAAACUUCCCAGCAGAGCAGCUACUCCGAGCAUUUUCAGCUGGUUUACUAUUUAUUCCCUUUUCAAAGAUAUCUAUUUAAAAUUUAAGUUAUUUUUGUAUUUACUUUUUUUUAACUAUAAAACAAGAAUUGUGUGACAUUAUAUUGAACAGCAGAGCUGUUUCUUUAGAACCAAAAAUAAAUCAUGUCUAAACAAC